AUUGAACGCUGGCGGCAUGCUUUACACAUGCAAGUCGAACGGCAGCACGGGUGCUUGCACCUGGUGGCGAGUGGCGGACGGGUGAGUAAUGCAUCGGAACGUGUCCUUAAGCGGGGGAUAACGCAUCGAAAGAUGUGCUAAUACCGCAUAAUCUCUGAGGAGAAAAGCAGGGGAUCGCAAGACCUUGCGCUUUUGGAGCGGCCGAUGUCUGAUUAGCUAGUUGGUGGGGUAAUGGCCUACCAAAGCUUCGAUCAGUAGCUGGUCUGAGAGGACGGCCAGCCACACUGGGACUGAGACACGGCCCAGACUCCUACGGGAGGCAGCAGUGGGGAAUUUUGGACAAUGGGCGAAAGCCUGAUCCAGCCAUGCCGCGUGAGUGAAGAAGGCCUUCGGGUUGUAAAGCUCUUUCAGCCGGGAAGAAAAGACCGCGACUAAUAAUCGCGGUUCAUGACGGUACCGGAAGAAGAAGCACCGGCUAACUACGUGCCAGCAGCCGCGGUAAUACGUAGGGUGCGAGCGUUAAUCGGAAUUACUGGGCGUAAAGGGUGCGCAGGCGGUUUUGUAAGUCAGAUGUGAAAUCCCCGGGCUUAACUGGGAACUGCGUUUGAAACUACAAAACUAGAGUGUAGCAGAGGGGGGUGGAAUCCAUGU
RNAcentral lists this ribosomal RNA (651 nucleotides) under uncultured Nitrosomonas sp. Its description in RNAcentral is "bacterial SSU rRNA". It matches the Rfam family "Bacterial small subunit ribosomal RNA", at positions 28 to 673 of the family's 1533-position model. Lineage: Bacteria; Pseudomonadati; Pseudomonadota; Betaproteobacteria; Nitrosomonadales; Nitrosomonadaceae. The record is from RNAcentral.